RNAcentral lists this ribosomal RNA (1001 nucleotides) under Bacteroides uniformis. RNAcentral's name for it is "bacterial SSU rRNA". It matches the Rfam family "Bacterial small subunit ribosomal RNA", at positions 61 to 1058 of the family's 1533-position model. The record is from RNAcentral. Lineage: Bacteria; Pseudomonadati; Bacteroidota; Bacteroidia; Bacteroidales; Bacteroidaceae.
GUCGAGGGGCAGCAUGAACUUAGCUUGCUAAGUUUGAUGGCGACCGGCGCACGGGUGAGUAACACGUAUCCAACCUGCCGAUGACUCGGGGAUAGCCUUUCGAAAGAAAGAUUAAUACCCGAUGGCAUAGUUCUUCCGCAUGGUGGAACUAUUAAAGAAUUUCGGUCAUCGAUGGGGAUGCGUUCCAUUAGGUUGUUGGCGGGGUAACGGCCCACCAAGCCUUCGAUGGAUAGGGGUUCUGAGAGGAAGGUCCCCCACAUUGGAACUGAGACACGGUCCAAACUCCUACGGGAGGCAGCAGUGAGGAAUAUUGGUCAAUGGACGAGAGUCUGAACCAGCCAAGUAGCGUGAAGGAUGACUGCCCUAUGGGUUGUAAACUUCUUUUAUACGGGAAUAAAGUGAGGCACGUGUGCCUUUUUGUAUGUACCGUAUGAAUAAGGAUCGGCUAACUCCGUGCCAGCAGCCGCGGUAAUACGGAGGAUCCGAGCGUUAUCCGGAUUUAUUGGGUUUAAAGGGAGCGUAGGCGGACGCUUAAGUCAGUUGUGAAAGUUUGCGGCUCAACCGUAAAAUUGCAGUUGAUACUGGGUGUCUUGAGUACAGUAGAGGCAGGCGGAAUUCGUGGUGUAGCGGUGAAAUGCUUAGAUAUCACGAAGAACUCCGAUUGCGAAGGCAGCCUGCUGGACUGUAACUGACGCUGAUGCUCGAAAGUGUGGGUAUCAAACAGGAUUAGAUACCCUGGUAGUCCACACAGUAAACGAUGAAUACUCGCUGUUUGCGAUAUACAGUAAGCGGCCAAGCGAAAGCGUUAAGUAUUCCACCUGGGGAGUACGCCGGCAACGGUGAAACUCAAAGGAAUUGACGGGGGCCCGCACAAGCGGAGGAACAUGUGGUUUAAUUCGAUGAUACGCGAGGAACCUUACCCGGGCUUGAAUUGCAACUGAAUGAUGUGGAGACAUGUCAGCCGCAAGGCAGUUGUGAAGGUGCUGCAUGGUUGUCGUCAG